RNAcentral lists this ribosomal RNA (113 nucleotides) under Pogona vitticeps (central bearded dragon). The record is from RNAcentral. Lineage: Eukaryota; Metazoa; Chordata; Lepidosauria; Squamata; Agamidae.
CUAGAGACACCAUCCUGAACAUGUCUGGUCUCAUCUCAUUUCAGCUGCUAAGCAGAGUCAGGCCUGGUUAGUAUCUGGAUGGGAGACAACCAGGGAAUGCCAGGUGCUGUAGU